GGAGGUGUGGUUCAGUGGUUGAGAGCUUACCUAGCAUGCAAAAUCCUCUGGGUUCGAUUCCCAGCACUGCCU
Molecule: transfer RNA, 72 nt
Filed under: Heterocephalus glaber (naked mole-rat)
Lineage: Eukaryota; Metazoa; Chordata; Mammalia; Rodentia; Bathyergidae
Rfam family: tRNA
About the family: Transfer RNA (tRNA) molecules are approximately 80 nucleotides in length. Their secondary structure includes four short double-helical elements and three loops (D, anti-codon, and T loops). Further hydrogen bonds mediate the characteristic L-shaped molecular structure. tRNAs have two regions of fundamental functional importance: the anti-codon, which is responsible for specific mRNA codon recognition, and the 3' end, to which the tRNAs corresponding amino acid is attached (by aminoacyl-tRNA synthetases). tRNAs cope with the degeneracy of the genetic code in two manners: having more than one tRNA (with a specific anti-codon) for a particular amino acid; and 'wobble' base-pairing, i.e. permitting non-standard base-pairing at the 3rd anti-codon position.
Source: Rfam by way of RNAcentral